GGGAUAUAGCUGUUUGUAGAGUGCAUGCCUCCCAUGCACGAGGCCCUGGGUUCAAUCCUCAGCAUCACCA
RNAcentral lists this transfer RNA (70 nucleotides) under Marmota monax (woodchuck). RNAcentral describes it as "tRNA.Gly". The record is from RNAcentral. Lineage: Eukaryota; Metazoa; Chordata; Mammalia; Rodentia; Sciuridae.